RNAcentral lists this ribosomal RNA (301 nucleotides) under uncultured bacterium. RNAcentral's name for it is "partial 16S ribosomal RNA". It matches the Rfam family "Bacterial small subunit ribosomal RNA", at positions 509 to 807 of the family's 1533-position model. The record is from RNAcentral.
CAGUAGCCGCGGUAAUACGUAGGGUGCAAGCGUUGUCCGGAAUUAUUGGGCGUAAAGAGCUCGUAGGCGGUUUGUCGCGUCUGCUGUGAAAACGCGAGGCUCAACCUCGCGCCUGCAGUGGGUACGGGCAGACUAGAGUGUGGUAGGGGAGAUUGGAAUUCCUGGUAUAGCGGUGGAAUGCGCAGAUAUCAGGAGGAACACCGAUGGCGAAGGCAGAUCUCUGGGCCAUUACUGACGCUGAGGAGCGAAAGCGUGGGGAGCGAACAGGAUUAGAUACCCGGGUAGUCCCUGUCUCUUAUAC